CUGUUUACCCCGUCGCCAUGACGCCAGCCUGUCCCACAUCAGGGGAGGGGCAGUGAGGCAGAGGAGGAAGAGGAGGAGGACGAAGCCGGGCAGCUCCCAGUGCUUCAGCUCUGUGGAGGCGGUGGGCGGAGCCUCCUCGUCAUGGACCGGAUCGGACGCGCUCCUCGCUCUGCCAUUGGCCAGGAACCUGAAACAGAGAGGGGAGCAGGCGUGACGGUGCAGUUCCAGCUGUGACCACCAGGGAGCAGAUCACCUCUGGAAGAUCAGAACUUCGGUUCGGCUGAGACCGGAACUGAACGACUGGAUCGGGCCCUCUCUGCUCAACAAGAUGCACAGGGUGACGCGGUUUGACCUCUGACCCCGGCCAACAGCAGGAAGGAUACGAUGUAGCCCGCAGGGACCCAGUGCGGCGGCAGAAGCGGGACGAAGACGCCGAAGCCGGUGACGGCGAAGUAGA
Molecule: long non-coding RNA, 457 nt
Organism: Poeciliopsis prolifica (blackstripe livebearer)
Lineage: Eukaryota; Metazoa; Chordata; Actinopteri; Cyprinodontiformes; Poeciliidae
Exons: 3
Source: RefSeq, a predicted model, not a curated record